This 402-nucleotide ribosomal RNA is filed under the name Verrucomicrobiota bacterium. Its description in RNAcentral is "Verrucomicrobia bacterium partial 16S ribosomal RNA". It matches the Rfam family "Bacterial small subunit ribosomal RNA", at positions 355 to 776 of the family's 1533-position model. Lineage: Bacteria; Pseudomonadati; Verrucomicrobiota. The record is from RNAcentral.
UGGGGAAUUUUGCACAAUGGGGGAAACCCUGAUGCAGCGACGCCGCGUGAUUUAGAAGGCCUUCGGGUUGUAAAAAUCUUUUGUAUGGGAAGAAAAUGACAGUACCAUACGAAUAAGGACCGGCUAAUUACGUGCCAGCAGCCGCGGUAAUACGUAAGGUCCGAGCGUUGUCCGGAAUCAUUGGGCGUAAAGGGUACGUAGGCGGAUAAGCAAGUUAGAAGUGAAAUCCUAUAGCUCAACUAUAGUAAGCUUUUAAAACUGCUCAUCUUGAGGUAUGCAAGGGAAAGUGGAAUUCCUAGUGUAGCGGUGAAAUGCGCAGAUAUUAGGAGGAAUACCGGUGGCGAAGGCGACUUUCUGGCCAUAUACUGACGCUGAGGUACGAAAGCGUGGGUAGCAAACAGG